GGCCAAAACACAAGGGAAAAACAGAAUCACAAGAAAGAAAAGGAGAAACAGACAGGAGACUCACCAUUACCGGGCAUACCGGGCUGCCACCACAACAGUAGUGUGUUCUGAUCUCUUUCUCCUUGUUUUACCAUGAUGAUCCAGAUAGUCCACCCCCUGCAGAUAAUUCAGUCGCUGAUGCUAAUCCAUCCACUGUGCAUGGUCCACAUGGAUGUGCCUCGCCAGCUGACUGAGAUAUGCCACGUGUUACCAGCCGACCUGGAUAUGUGUCUCCUUGUGAAAUCCUACCACUUCCCAAAUGUCCCCCCAGAACACAAACCAAACGAAAGCGUAUGAAGACAGUCGUCCUAACUGAUACUCCUGAGAAGCAGACAAUUGAAAAGGAUUAUAAAGAAAGACAAAAAAAUUGGCAGGGAAGAAGCUAAAUAGCAAAGAAAAGGGACAACCGAAAAAGAAAGCAACCAAAAAGAAAAUCAUAGUUAGCAGCUCUGAGGAGAGUGAUGUCCCUGUCCCAAUUGAUAAUGUGUGAUCCAGGAAACACAGAUCUGUCCGUGGGUGACUUUGUCAUAGUUAACUUUGCAACCAAACACAGAAGCAGCCGCUACUUUGGCAUGGUUGAGAAAGUUGAGGAUAAUGAAAUACUGCACAUUUUCUCAGAAGAAUCCAGGGAAACACAAAAGAGUGGGAGAGACCCACGUUUGCUAUAAAGGUAAAUGAUGUGGCAUAUGUUCCUAAAAGUGAUGUGGUGAAAAAGCUGCCUCAACCUAAAAGGCCUGGAGGAACCACACGGAGAGAGCAACUCUUCAUCUUUCCCUGUAACCGUCAGGGCUGGAAUGGAGAGUAGGCCUAGUUGUAGAGUAUGACAGUAGGCUGAUGAUCUAAUCCAGGUUGGUCUAGUCCUGUGUCCCAAGCUGUUCUAGCUGGUUCUGAUUGUCCUUAGUUCUGACCCCUAGACACUAGCUGGCUCUAAGGGUCCUGUGUUCUGACCCCCAGACCCCCUGUUUUCUUGUACUUUGUUUUCCCUAUGUCUAAUCUAACUGGUUCUGUCAUUUGAAUGUUAAUUAAAACAUUUUGAAUUAUAUUAUGUUGUAUUUGAUUUUGUUCAGUAUAGAAAAAAAAAUUGCUUAAUUGACCAAUCCUCAUUCUGUUACUAGUCUGACAUUAGUUCUGGAAUGUGUGGUCGUCAAGCUAGCUGUCAGGAUUCUAAAUGUUACAAUAUGUGUUGUUAUGGUAGUUUUAGAGUGGAAAAAGUAAGUGGAUCAGUUUACCCUCAGCAGGUUCACUUUAUCCCCUUGAUUUCUCUGGUCUGUCUCAGUUUUCCCCUAAGCUGAUUCAAAGUUUGUCAAUCCUUUAUGCAAUUAUAGUUUUUUUGUAAACUUUAUUGUUCUCCACACUGUUGGAAUAGACUAUGGAUCGGUCUCAAUAUGUUUUGUAUUUUACUUCAUCAAAAUGUAAUUAGUCUGUAUACAGCCUCUAUUGAUUCAAUGAUGACUUUUUACUGUAUGUUGUAUGAGAGCACCCUGGAUAACCCUGCUCUUAAAAAAAACAACUAGGCAUACAGAUUGAAAUAAAAAAUCACAUGCAGCUGCUACUGUGCCCCCAACUUGUCAGUUGAAUAAUUUGACAAAUAAAUCUUUGCUUUAAA
Molecule: long non-coding RNA, 1645 nt
Organism: Micropterus dolomieu (smallmouth bass)
Lineage: Eukaryota; Metazoa; Chordata; Actinopteri; Centrarchiformes; Centrarchidae
Exons: 2
Source: RefSeq, a predicted model, not a curated record